Molecule: long non-coding RNA, 526 nt
Organism: Nymphaea colorata (pocket water lily)
Lineage: Eukaryota; Viridiplantae; Streptophyta; Magnoliopsida; Nymphaeales; Nymphaeaceae
Exons: 4
Source: RefSeq, a predicted model, not a curated record
UUCGCUCUCUCCGACUCUCCCUCUCUCGCCUCUCUAUCUCUCCGACUUUUCCUUCUCUUCUCUAGUUCUCCCGUUCAGGAGUCUCUGACGUCUGCAGGAGGAACCAGUCGUCCGCGGGCCGCGUCCAUGGGCCACUUCAGCCUUCGAGGUCAGCCGGCUGCUCCGCCUUCGCCCUUCAGCUCAAGAUUCAAGUUUAGAGGGCGUCCCUCGAUCUUCCUCUCCGGUUCUCUUCGACGGAACCGACAGUCCGGCGGCGAGUGGGUCUUUGCUCCUCCGGUUGAUUCCGUGAAUUGAGGUAGGCUUAAAUCUCCUUGGUCUUGUAGAAGGAGAAAACGUGCUCUUUCACGUCAACAAUGGGAUAGUUUUUACUCUUCCGAUGGAAAACUUCUUGAUGGUGGAGUUAAGCUAUUAAAGAAAGUUCGCAGUGGGGUACGGAGUUUCUCUCGUUUCUUAAGGGCUGAACAAACAUGUUAAUAGCAGGAAGAUUAUGUCAUGGAAGAUUAUGUUAUGUCAUGGAAUCUUAGAA